RNAcentral lists this ribosomal RNA (520 nucleotides) under Lumbrineris inflata. Its description in RNAcentral is "partial 16S ribosomal RNA". It matches the Rfam family "Bacterial large subunit ribosomal RNA", at positions 1798 to 2617 of the family's 2925-position model. The record is from RNAcentral. Lineage: Eukaryota; Metazoa; Annelida; Polychaeta; Eunicida; Lumbrineridae.
GCCUGUUUAUCAAAAACAUAGCCUAUUGAUCCACCAUAAUAGGUGAUUCCUGCCCAGUGAUACGUUAAACGGCCGCGGUAACCUGACCGUGCAAAGGUAGCAUAAUAAUUUGCCUCCUAAUUAGAGGCUGGUAUGAAUGGAUUUACGAAAGUAUAGCUGUCUCCUAUAAAAACAUAAAAACUAAACUUCAAGUGAAGAUGCUUGAAUAAAACUAAAGGACAAAAAGACCCUGUCGAGCUUUACCUAAAAUUAGUUUAAUAACUUAAUUAAGGUUUAGUUGGGGCGACUAAGGAAAAAAUAAAGCUUCCUUAAUAAUCAGACAAAUAUGUCUCAUAAAAGAUCUGCUAUAAGCAAUUUACAAAAAAGCUACCGCAGGGAUAACAGGCUAAUCCUUCUUAAGAGCUCAAAUUGACAGAAGGGUUUGGCACCUCGAUGUUGGCUUAAGGUCCCCUCUAAGUGUAGCAGCCUAGAAGGUAGGUUUGUUCAACCUUUAAAACCUUACGUGAUCUGAGUUCAGACC